GACGAACGCUGGCGGCGUGCUUAACACAUGCAAGUCGUACGGUAAGGCCCUUUCGGGGGUACACGAGUGGCGAACGGGUGAGUAACACGUGAGUAACCUGCCCACAACUUUGGGAUAACGCUAGGAAACUGGUGCUAAUACUGGAUAUGUGCUCCUGCUGCAUGGUGGGGGUUGGAAAGCUCCGGCGGUUGUGGAUGGACUCGCGGCCUAUCAGCUUGUUGGUGGGGUAGUGGCCUACCAAGGCGGCGACGGGUAGCCGGCCUGAGAGGGUGACCGGCCACAUGGGGACUGAGAUACGGCCCAGACUCCUACGGGAGGCAGCAGUGGGGAAUAUUGCACAAUGGGCGCAAGCAUGAUGCAGCAACGCCGCGUGCGGGAUGACGGCCUUCGGGUUGUAAACCGCUUUCAGCAGGGACGAAGCUUUUUGUGACGGUACCUGCAGAAGAAGCACCGGCUAACUACG
RNAcentral lists this ribosomal RNA (463 nucleotides) under uncultured bacterium. RNAcentral's name for it is "partial 16S ribosomal RNA". It matches the Rfam family "Bacterial small subunit ribosomal RNA", at positions 28 to 505 of the family's 1533-position model. The record is from RNAcentral.